RNAcentral lists this ribosomal RNA (1680 nucleotides) under Salmonella enterica subsp. enterica. RNAcentral describes it as "partial 23S ribosomal RNA". It matches the Rfam family "Bacterial large subunit ribosomal RNA", at positions 1163 to 2802 of the family's 2925-position model. The record is from RNAcentral. Lineage: Bacteria; Pseudomonadati; Pseudomonadota; Gammaproteobacteria; Enterobacterales; Enterobacteriaceae.
UAAAGCGAUUCAGCGGGUUACGAUUGACGGAGCGAAGCGACGUCAAAGCGUAUACAAAGUCGAGUCGGUUUAAGGAUACGUUCGUUGGGUAGGGGAGCGUUCUGUAAGCCCGUGAAGGUGGCCUGUGAGGGUUGCUGGAGGUAUCAGAAGUGCGAAUGCUGACAUAAGUAACGAUAAAGCGGGUGAAAAGCCCGCUCGCCGGAAGACCAAGGGUUCCUGUCCAACGUUAAUCGGGGCAGGGUGAGUCGACCCCUAAGGCGAGGCCGAAAGGCGUAGUCGAUGGGAAACGGGUUAAUAUUCCCGUACUUGGUGUUACUGCGAAGGGGGGACGGAGAAGGCUAUGUUGGCCGGGCGACGGUUGUCCCGGUUUAAGCGUGUAGGUGUGUGUUCCAGGUAAAUCCGGUUCACUUUAACACUGAGGCGUGACGACGAGGCACUACGGUGCUGAAGCAACAAAUGCCCUGCUUCCAGGAAAAGCCUCUAAGCAUCAGGUAACACGAAAUCGUACCCCAAACCGACACAGGUGGUCAGGUAGAGAAUACCAAGGCGCUUGAGAGAACUCGGGUGAAGGAACUAGGCAAAAUGGUGCCGUAACUUCGGGAGAAGGCACGCUGACACGUAGGUGAAGUGAUUUACUCAUGGAGCUGAAGUCAGUCGAAGAUACCAGCUGGCUGCAACUGUUUAUUAAAAACACAGCACUGUGCAAACACGAAAGUGGACGUAUACGGUGUGACGCCUGCCCGGUGCCGGAAGGUUAAUUGAUGGGGUCAGCGUAAGCGAAGCUCCUGAUCGAAGCCCCGGUAAACGGCGGCCGUAACUAUAACGGUCCUAAGGUAGCGAAAUUCCUUGUCGGGUAAGUUCCGACCUGCACGAAUGGCGUAAUGAUGGCCAGGCUGUCUCCACCCGAGACUCAGUGAAAUUGAACUCGCUGUGAAGAUGCAGUGUACCCGCGGCAAGACGGAAAGACCCCGUGAACCUUUACUAUAGCUUGACACUGAACAUUGAGCCUUGAUGUGUAGGAUAGGUGGGAGGCUUUGAAGUGUGGACGCCAGUCUGCAUGGAGCCGACCUUGAAAUACCACCCUUUAAUGUUUGAUGUUCUAACGUGGACCCGUAAUCCGGGUUGCGGACAGUGUCUGGUGGGUAGUUUGACUGGGGCGGUCUCCUCCUAAAGAGUAACGGAGGAGCACGAAGGUUGGCUAAUCCUGGUCGGACAUCAGGAGGUUAGUGCAAUGGCAUAAGCCAGCUUGACUGCGAGCGUGACGGCGCGAGCAGGUGCGAAAGCAGGUCAUAGUGAUCCGGUGGUUCUGAAUGGAAGGGCCAUCGCUCAACGGAUAAAAGGUACUCCGGGGAUAACAGGCUGAUACCGCCCAAGAGUUCAUAUCGACGGCGGUGUUUGGCACCUCGAUGUCGGCUCAUCACAUCCUGGGGCUGAAGUAGGUCCCAAGGGUAUGGCUGUUCGCCAUUUAAAGUGGUACGCGAGCUGGGUUUAGAACGUCGUGAGACAGUUCGGUCCCUAUCUGCCGUGGGCGCUGGAGAACUGAGGGGGGCUGCUCCUAGUACGAGAGGACCGGAGUGGACGCAUCACUGGUGUUCGGGUUGUCAUGCCAAUGGCACUGCCCGGUAGCUAAAUGCGGAAGAGAUAAGUGCUGAAAGCAUCUAAGCACGAAACUUGCCCCGA